Molecule: ribosomal RNA, 497 nt
Filed under: uncultured bacterium
Lineage: Bacteria
Description: partial 16S ribosomal RNA
Rfam family: Bacterial small subunit ribosomal RNA
Source: RNAcentral
GAUGAACGCUGGCGGCGUGCCUAAUACAUGCAAGUCGAGCGAACAGAUGAGGAGCUUGCUCCUCUGACGUUAGCGGCGGACGGGUGAGUAACACGUGGAUAACCUACCUAUAAGACUGGGAUAACUUCGGGAAACCGGAGAUAAUACCGGAGAAUAUAUUGAACCGCAUGGUUCAAUAGUGAAAGACGGUUUUGCUGUCACUUAUAGAUGGAUCCGCGCCGCAUUAGCUAGUUGGGAAGGUAACGGCUUAUCAAGGCAACGAUGCGUAGCCGACCUGUGAGGGUGGUCGGCCACACUGGAACUGGGCCACGGUCCAGACUCCUACGGGAGGCAGCAGUAGGGAAUCUUCCGCAAUAGGCGAAAGCCUGGCGGAGCAACGCCGAGUGAGUUAUGAAGGUCUUCGGAUCGUAAAACUCUGUUAUUAGUUAAGAACAAAUGUGUAAGUAACUAUGCACGUCUUGACGGUACCUAAUCAGAAAGCCACGGCUAACUACGUG